UAAUUACAGAAUUGAAGAAAUAACCAUAUAUUGGUGAAUUAUAAUUAAGGUUAAGUCAAGGUGAAACAACAAUAUUCAUAGCUAAAUCACAACCCCAGAGCUAUGGGUUUUAUCCACUCAUGAUAAUAUCAAAACUAAUUCAUAAAUGUUGAAUAAUUAAAAAUAAUAAGAAAAGAUGAAGAAAACUGAGAUAUCCUCGCUCCCGAAUGUUCCUCGUGUGUAUUUUUCCUCUAAAGUGGCGUACCCCCCUUCAAAAUAGGCUUAGUCUUGCUUUUAUACGCGUUGGGUAGGUCUUGUGCUGAAAUAACCUUGUCCCCGGCAAGUUGGAAACAUUUCUGUCACCAGCGCCCAAGGCAGCGUGGGGCACUAGCCCUGGCGCUGGCAAAUUGAGCAUUCUGUAAACGGCGCCACAGGUGGCGUGGGGCGCUGGAAUUCAACAUUUUCCAUUUUUUCUCCGUUUUGGCUCAUAUCUCGCAUCUUUCGCCCCCUAUUUCCUCCAGAUAAUUCCUACACAUAAGAACACCACGAAUUAACAUAAAUCAAUAUAUUUUACAUCUGAAAUUCACGAAACGCGAGAAAAACAUGAGGCGAUAUAUAUAUACUUUAAGAUAAAUAUCAACACCCCACACUCAGACUCUUGCUCAUCCUCGAGCAAUGGGACUAUCAAAUAUACCUCAACCACGUACAAAUCUCAACUAGAGAGGAACACUUCAAUUUGUUUUACCAUACACGCUACCCUUGACUAUGAUCGACACCGAAAAUCAAGCAUGAACAUACAAAAUUCACAUUCUUAUUAUUUUAAACAUGUCCAAGUCUAUCAUUUCAAUUCAAUCAAUAUAAUCCAAACAACCUAUCUGUAACCACCCUACCUCAAGAGCUGACUCGUUACCACUAAGCACUCAACUUGUGCACUCACCCAACAAGAGACGUUUACAACAUUAGCAAUCCUCCACGAGAUCAUGUGGCCUUACAAACAAACAAAAGAAUGAAUAUAGAAUAGUCUACAUAUUCAAGUAUUCCUUUGAAUAUAAAUUAAGGACAUCACACAAUUAAACAAAAUUCGCUCACUCUCAUAAAGAAUUUCUGUGCAUUCCAUGGUCGUACUAUAAGUUUGCCCGUAGUGUACAUCUCUACUAAUCUAAGCUAGCCAAAUCAAGAAUCAUUUAGGACUGUAAGAUUGUAAUGUAGGCUAAGGAACAUGUAGGAUACAUUUAGUGCACCAAAUGGCCUUUUUAUGGUUCCACUUGAAAGCUACUCCCCAAUUUCUCACCUUACUUCUUUAAGGCCACAUGGAGGAUUAGAGUGAAAAAGGAAAGGGAUGACAAGAAAUUGAAUGGAGAAAAUGCGAACAAAGGAGGGGAAACACAAUCAGAGGAUAGGGUAUAAGACAAAAGUAAUAAUGUACAAAGGGAAGUAGAAUAGCAAAGUAAUUCAAAAGAUAGUAACCAAUG
This 1451-nucleotide long non-coding RNA is filed under the name Nicotiana tabacum (common tobacco). RNAcentral describes it as "long non-coding RNA (NTAB_LNC005867)". The record is from RNAcentral. Lineage: Eukaryota; Viridiplantae; Streptophyta; Magnoliopsida; Solanales; Solanaceae.